RNAcentral lists this ribosomal RNA (530 nucleotides) under uncultured bacterium. RNAcentral's name for it is "partial 16S ribosomal RNA". It matches the Rfam family "Bacterial small subunit ribosomal RNA", at positions 355 to 900 of the family's 1533-position model. The record is from RNAcentral.
UGGGGAAUAUUGCACAAUGGGCGAAAGCCUGAUGCAGCAACGCCGCGUGAGUGAUGAAGGUCUUCGGAUUGUAAAGCUCUGUCUUUUGGGACGAUAAUGACGGUACCAAAGGAGGAAGCCACGGCUAACUACGUGCCAGCAGCCGCGGUAAUACGUGGGUGGCGAGCGUUGUCCGGAUUUACUGGGCGUAAAGGGUGCGUAGGCGGAUGUUUAAGUGAGAUGUGAAAUACCCGGGCUUAACUUGGGUGCUGCAUUUCAAACUGGAUAUCUAGAGUGCAGGAGAGGAGAAUGGAAUUCCUAGUGUAGCGGUGAAAUGCGUAGAGAUUAGGAAGAACACCAGUGGCGAAGGCGAUUCUCUGGACUGUAACUGACGCUGAGGCACGAAAGCGUGGGUAGCAAACAGGAUUAGAUACCCUGGUAGUCCACGCCGUAAAACGAUGAGUACUAGGUGUAGGAGGUAUCGACCCCUUCUGUGCCGCAGUAAACACAUUAAGUACUCCGCCUGGGAAGUACGAUCGCAAGAUUAAAAC